This is a transfer RNA of 81 nucleotides. It matches the Rfam family "tRNA". Rfam says of the family: Transfer RNA (tRNA) molecules are approximately 80 nucleotides in length. Their secondary structure includes four short double-helical elements and three loops (D, anti-codon, and T loops). The record is from Rfam.
GCCACUGUGUCCGAGUGGUUAAGGAGAUUGAUUUGAAAUCAAUUGCUUUCGAGCGCAUAGGUUCAAAUCCUGUCGGUGGCG